Non-coding RNA from Apus apus (common swift), 69 nucleotides. The record is from the annotation of a RefSeq genome assembly. NCBI's taxonomy places the organism in Eukaryota, Metazoa, Chordata, Aves, Apodiformes, Apodidae.
CAUUAGGAAGCUAUGCAACAGCGCUAGCCUUUUAAGCUAGAAAGAGAGGUUCAUCCACCUCCCUAAUGA